AUUGAACGCUGGCGGCAGGCCUAACACAUGCAAGUCGAGCGGAUGAAGGGAGCUUGCUCCUGGAUUCAGCGGCGGACGGGUGAGUAAUGCCUAGGAAUCUGCCUGGUAGUGGGGGAUAACGUCCGGAAACGGGCGCUCAUACCGCAUACGUCCUGAGGGAGAAAGUGGGGGAUCUUCGGACCUCACGCUAUCAGAUGAGCCUAGGUCGGAUUAGCUAGUUGGUGGGGUAAAGGCCUACCAAGGCGACGAUCCGUAACUGGUCUGAGAGGAUGAUCAGUCACACUGGAACUGAGACACGGUCCAGACUCCUACGGGAGGCAGCAGUGGGGAAUAUUGGACAAUGGGCGAAAGCCUGAUCCAGCCAUGCCGCGUGUGUGAAGAAGGUCUUCGGAUUGUAAAGCACUUUAAGUUGGGAAGAAGAGCAGUAAGUUAAUACCUUGCUGUUUUGACGUUACCAACAGAAUAAGCACCGGCUAACUUCGUG
RNAcentral lists this ribosomal RNA (484 nucleotides) under uncultured bacterium. RNAcentral's name for it is "partial 16S ribosomal RNA". It matches the Rfam family "Bacterial small subunit ribosomal RNA", at positions 30 to 507 of the family's 1533-position model. The record is from RNAcentral.